This 531-nucleotide ribosomal RNA is filed under the name uncultured soil bacterium. RNAcentral's name for it is "bacterial SSU rRNA". It matches the Rfam family "Bacterial small subunit ribosomal RNA", at positions 8 to 526 of the family's 1533-position model. The record is from RNAcentral.
AGAGUUUGAUCCUGGCUCAGGACGAACGCUGGCGGCGCGCUUAACACAUGCAAGUCGAGCGAGAACCGGGACUUCGGUCCCGGGGACAGCGGCGAACGGGUGAGUAACACGUGGGUAAUCUGCCCUCGAUUCUGGGAUAGCCCGGGGAAACCCGGAUUAAUACCGGAUAGCCUUUCGAGCUUUCGGGCUUGAAAGAAAAGGUAGCUUCGGCCUCCGAUCGAGGAUGAGCCCGCGGUGGAUUAGCUUGUUGGCGGGGUAAUGGCCCACCAAGGCGACGAUCCAUAGCUGGUCUGAGAGGACGAUCAGCCACACUGGGACUGAGACACGGCCCAGACUCCUACGGGAGGCAGCAGUGGGGAAUCUUGCGCAAUGGGCGAAAGCCUGACGCAGCGACGCCGCGUGGGGGAAGAAGGCCUUAGGGUUGUAAACCUCUUUCAGGUGGGACGAAGCCACUCGGGUUAAUAGCCCAGAGGGUGACGGUACCGCCAGAAGAAGCCCCGGCUAACUACGUGCCAGCCGCCGCGGUAAUUC